AAUGAUGACGACCCUAGGUGACUCUGAGUGUGUAACUGGCGCCAUCACCGCAAAAA
This 56-nucleotide small nucleolar RNA is filed under the name Saimiri boliviensis boliviensis (Bolivian squirrel monkey). RNAcentral's name for it is "Small nucleolar RNA SNORD48 (ENSSBOG00000006275.1)". It matches the Rfam family "Small nucleolar RNA SNORD48", at positions 1 to 56 of the family's 63-position model. Rfam says of the family: U48 belongs to the C/D class of snoRNA which contain the C (UGAUGA) and D (CUGA) box motifs. Most of the members of the box C/D family function in directing site-specific 2'-O-methylation of substrate RNAs. Lineage: Eukaryota; Metazoa; Chordata; Mammalia; Primates; Cebidae. The record is from RNAcentral.